AGGGGGCGUGCUAAUACAUGCAAGUCGAGCGAACUGAUUAGAAGCUUGCUUCUAUGACGUUAGCGGCGGACGGGUGAGUAACACGUGGGCAACCUGCCUGUAAGACUGGGAUAACUUCGGGAAACCGAAGCUAAUACCGGAUAGGAUCUUCUCCUUCAUGGGAGAUGAUUGAAAGAUGGUUUCGGCUAUCACUUACAGAUGGGCCCGCGGUGCAUUAGCUAGUUGGUGAGGUAACGGCUCACCAAGGCAACGAUGCAUAGCCGACCUGAGAGGGUGAUCGGCCACACUGGGACUGAGACACGGCCCAGACUCCUACGGGAGGCAGCAGUAGGGAAUCUUCCGCAAUGGACGAAAGUCUGACGGAGCAACGCCGCGUGAGUGAUGAAGGCUUUCGGGUCGUAAAACUCUGUUGUUAGGGAAGAACAAGUACGAGAGUAACUGCUCGUACCUUGACGGUACCUAACCAGAAAGCCACGGCUAACUACGUGCCAGCAGCCGCGGUAAUACGUAGGUGGCAAGCGUUAUCCGGAAUUAUUGGGCGUAAAGCGCGCGCAGGCGGUUUCUUAAGUCUGAUGUGAAAGCCCACGGCUCAACCGUGGAGGGUCAUUGGAAACUGGGGAACUUGAGUGCAGAAGAGAAAAGCGGAAUUCCACGUGUAGCGGUGAAAUGCGUAGAGAUGUGGAGGAACACCAGUGGCGAAGGCGGCUUUUUGGUCUGUAACUGACGCUGAGGCGCGAAAGCGGACA
This 746-nucleotide ribosomal RNA is filed under the name Priestia megaterium. Its description in RNAcentral is "bacterial SSU rRNA". It matches the Rfam family "Bacterial small subunit ribosomal RNA", at positions 37 to 765 of the family's 1533-position model. The record is from RNAcentral. Lineage: Bacteria; Bacillati; Bacillota; Bacilli; Caryophanales; Bacillaceae.